RNAcentral lists this ribosomal RNA (460 nucleotides) under uncultured bacterium. RNAcentral describes it as "partial 16S ribosomal RNA". It matches the Rfam family "Bacterial small subunit ribosomal RNA", at positions 338 to 795 of the family's 1533-position model. The record is from RNAcentral.
CCUACGGGUGGCAGCAGUGAGGAAUAUUGGUCAAUGGGCGAGAGCCUGAACCAGCCAAGUAGCGUGAAGGAUGACUGCCCUAUGGGUUGUAAACUUCUUUUAUAAGGGAAUAAAACGAGGCAAGCAUACCUUUUUGUAUGUACUAUAUGAAUAAGGAUCGGCUAACUCCGUGCCAGCAGCCGCGGUAAUACGGAGGAUACGAGCGUUAUCCGGAUUUAUUGGGUUUAAAGGGAGCGUAGAUGGGUUGUUAAGUCAGUUGUGAAAGUUUGCGGCUCAACCGUAAAAUUGCAAUUGAUACUGGCAGCCGUGAGUACAGUAGAGGUAGGCGGAAUUCGUUGUGUAGCGGUGAAAUGCUUAGAUAUCACGAAGAACUCCGAUUGCGAAGGCAGCCCACUAGACUGCCACGGACACUGAUGCUCGAAAGUGUGGGUAUCAAACAGGAUUAGAUACCCCAGUAGUC